AGAAUCAACGCUGGCGGCGUGCCUAACACAUGCAAGUCGAACGAGAAAGUGGAGCAAUCCAUGAGUAAAGUGGCGCACGGGUGAGUAACACGUGACUAACCUACCUUUUAGUGGGGGAUAACCUAGGGAAACCUGGGCUAAUACCGCAUAACACUUACGAGUCAAAGCAGCAAUGCGCUGAAAGAGGGGGUCGCGGCCGAUUAGCUAGUUGGCGGGGUAAUGGCCCACCAAGGCAGUGAUCGGUAUCCGGCCUGAGAGGGCGCACGGGACACACUGGAACUGAAACACGGCCCAGACUCCUACGGGAGGCAGCAGUGGGGAAUUUGCGCAAUGGGGGAAACCCUGACGCAGCAACGCCGCGUGGAGGAUGAAGUCCCUUGGGACGUAAACUCCUUUCGAUCGGGACGAUAAUGACGGUACCGGAAGAAGAAGCCCCGGCUAACUUCGCGCCAGCAGCCGC
Molecule: ribosomal RNA, 460 nt
Filed under: uncultured bacterium
Lineage: Bacteria
Description: SSU rRNA
Rfam family: Bacterial small subunit ribosomal RNA
Source: RNAcentral